RNAcentral lists this ribosomal RNA (1453 nucleotides) under uncultured bacterium. RNAcentral's name for it is "bacterial SSU rRNA". It matches the Rfam family "Bacterial small subunit ribosomal RNA". The record is from RNAcentral.
AGAGUUUGAUCCUGGCUCAGAGUGAACGCUGGCGGCGUGCUUAACACAUGCAAGUCGAACGGUAACAGGUCUUCGGAUGCUGACGAGUGGCGGACGGGUGAGUAAUGUAUAGGUAUGUGCCCCAUAGACUAGGAUAGCCACUGGAAACGGUGAUUAAUACUGGAUACUCCUUACGAGGGAAAGAUUUAUCGCUAUGGGAUCGGCCUAUAUUGCAUCAGCUAGUUGGUGAGGUAAAGGCUCACCAAGGCAAUGACACAUAACUGGUCUGAGAGGAUGAUCAGUCACACUGGAACUGAGACACGGUCCAGACUCCUACGGGAGGCAGCAGUGGGGAAUAUUACACAAUGGAGGAAACUCUGAUGUAGCAACGCCGCGUGGAGGAUGACACAUUUCGGUGCGUAAACUCCUUUUAUUAGGGAAGAUAAUGACGGUACCUAAUGAAUAAGCACCGGCUAACUCCGUGCCAGCAGCCGCGGUAAUACGGAGGGUGCAAGCGUUACUCGGAAUCACUGGGCGUAAAGCGCGCGCAGGCGGGUUUGUAAGUUGGAAGUGAAAUCCACUGGCUUAACCAGUGAACUGCUUCCAAAACUACUUACCUAGAGUCUGGGAGGGGAAGAUGGAAUUAGUUGUGUAGGGGUAAAAUCCGUAGAGAUAACUAGGAAUAUCAAAAGCGAAGGCGAUCUUCUGGAACAGUACUGACGCUGAGGCGCGAAAGCGUGGGGAGCAAACAGGAUUAGAUACCCUGGUAGUCCACGCCCUAAACGAUGAAUGUUAGUCGUCGGUAUGCUCGUCAUAUCGGUGAUGCACUUAACAGAUUAAACAUUCCGCCUGGGGAGUACGGUCGCAAGAUUAAAACUCAAAGGAAUAGACGGGGACCCGCACAAGUGGUGGAGCAUGUGGUUUAAUUCGAAGAUACGCGAAGAACCUUACCUAGCCUUGACAUUGAUAGAAUCCGCUAGAGAUAGUGGAGUGCCAGUUUACUGGAGCUUGAAAACAGGUGCUGCACGGCUGUCGUCAGCUCGUGUCGUGAGAUGUUGGGUUAAGUCCCGCAACGAGCGCAACCCUCGUGACUAGUUACUAACGGUUCGGCCGAGGACUCUAGUCAGACUGCCUUCGUAAGGAGGAGGAAGGUGAGGACGACGUCAAGUCAUCAUGGCCCUUACGGCUAGGGCGACACACGUGCUACAAUGGGCAGGACAAUGAGACGCAAUACCGCGAGGUGGAGCAAAUCUAUAAACCUGCUCUCAGUUCGGAUUGUAGUCUGCAACUCGACUACAUGAAGCUGGAAUCACUAGUAAUCGUAGAUCAGCCAUGNUACGGUGAAUACGUUCCCGGGUCUUGUACUCACCGCCCGUCACACCAUGGGAGUUGAUUUCACCCGAAGCGGGGAAGCUAAACUGGCUACCCUCCACGGUGGAAUCAGCGACUGGGGUGAAGUCGUAACAAGGUAACC